RNAcentral lists this ribosomal RNA (96 nucleotides) under uncultured bacterium. Its description in RNAcentral is "partial 16S ribosomal RNA". The record is from RNAcentral.
UAACCCAGCACACAACUUAGCCUCUUAUUAAAAUUAUAGGAAGCUAAGUUGUGUGCCAGGAGCCAGCCGCCUAAGGUGGGACAGAUGAUUGGGGUG